UAAAAGGUUGUGCCUUAGAGAAUUUGUGCACUUAAAAUUGAGAGGUUUAUGCAUUGAAGUGUUUUUGCACUGAAGUUAUCGGAUAAACGAAUUUCCUGCAUUUAUGAGAAUAGACCAAAAAUCACUCCAAAUAUAUGUUAACGCUGCUGUCUUCUUCUGGAGCAGUCGAGGAAUAAAAAACCCCAAAAUUUAGUUUGUGUCUGGUGUUAUUUCCCAUUUCACUAGCCCACACAAGGAAACUUGGAAUGACUUUUCAUAGGUAAGAAUAGUUUUUGGCUCUUUUUUCAUUAUGAAAUCUUGUUGAGAGCUUCCAGUCUAUGAGAGCUAACUAGUUAGCCACUAGCAAAACGCUAAGGCGAGCUAGCAGCUUGACAACCAAAUACCAGACGAUUAAUAGUAGCUGCAGUAUAGUUGUACAAGCAGUAGUAGUAAUACUAAAAGUACAAGCAGUAGUAGUAUAAAAUAGCUGUUAGAGUCAUAGAAGUAGUAUCAGCAUUUGUAAUAGUAUUACAAGUUGUAGUAGCAGUGCCAGUAUCAGCAGCAGUAGUUAGUGUACUACCACUACUACUAGUAGUUGUCACAUUGCUAUUACUACCACCAAUACUACCAAUAGUAGUUAUAAAGCCUAACUCAUGUAUAUCCAGAUUACCAUCUAUGUUCUUCCUCCAAACCCAUUUUAUGAUUGGGAUUACAGGCAGUUCUUUAGGACUGCUCUCAAAUAAUUGAAAUGUUACUAAACAAGGUUAUACUUAUCAAAUUAAAUAGCUCUGGUCUCCAGUAUAUUGGCGAAUUCGGUUCUUUGUACUUAAUUUAUUAGCAUGAUUUCUUUUUAAUAUGUUGUGUACAGACUUAAUUACUUCUCUGUCUACUUUUCUUACUCCAUGUAGGUUUCCCAGAGACUGUGGGUUGAGGAGGAAUUGGAAGUUUGUCGGCUUAGACCUGGUGUCAUUCCAUCAGUGUUUAACUUCCCGGCUCAUCAUGGAAAAGUACGUGCCAGAAAGACCACGACCAAGCAGCCUUGAGAUCUUAGGCAGCGUCUCCCUGAGGUCCCUCUCUAUCUCCCCACACAUCCACCAACCACUGGAACACAUCUCCAAAGUUCUGCCGGGCCAGCUCAGCUUCCCCUCAGAAGAAGUUCCACCACCUGCCAGAUGAAGGAGCCUUUUGAGAGGCAGCUGGCAUCGUGAUUGGACAGUACUUUGGUCUGUUCCAAUCCAGCUUCAGUUCCAGAGACGGCAGGCGGGACGAGUCAACGGAGGCCUGGUGGACGAAGGCAUGCAGCUGAGUACAAUCCAGAAAACAACAGAGGAGG
Molecule: long non-coding RNA, 1312 nt
Organism: Amphiprion ocellaris (clown anemonefish)
Lineage: Eukaryota; Metazoa; Chordata; Actinopteri; Pomacentridae
Source: Ensembl